GAAACUGAGACCCAGUACAGGGAAAUGACACAUUCAAGUUCACACAGAAUUGGCUUCAUCCCAGGCAGCUCUACCUGCCUGUAUCCUGAUGAUCUCCAACAGAUCCAAUCUUACCUUCUAUCAUCCUAACAACUAGCAAAUGCUCUCCGGUAAAUAUCUGGAACUCCAAGCUCCAUCUCACUUCGGCUUUUUGAGAGCUCA
Long non-coding RNA from Enhydra lutris kenyoni (northern sea otter), 201 nucleotides. RefSeq lists it as uncharacterized. The transcript has 3 exons. The record is from RefSeq and is a predicted model, not a curated record. Lineage: Eukaryota; Metazoa; Chordata; Mammalia; Carnivora; Mustelidae.